AACGUAGGGGACAAGCGUUAUCCGGAUUUACUGGGCGUAAAGCGCGUGUAGGCGGCCAGGUAAGUCCGUUCUGAAAGCCCGGGGCUCAACCCCGGGAGGCGGAUGGAUACUGCUUGGCUCGAGUCCGGAAGAGGCGAGUGGAAUUCCCGGUGUAGCGGUGAAAUGCGCAGAUAUCGGGAGGAACACCAAUGGCGAAGGCAGCCCGCUGGGACGGUACUGACGCUGAGACGCGAAAGCGUGGGGAGCAAACAGG
Molecule: ribosomal RNA, 253 nt
Filed under: uncultured bacterium
Lineage: Bacteria
Description: partial 16S ribosomal RNA
Rfam family: Bacterial small subunit ribosomal RNA
Source: RNAcentral